CCUACGUGUGGCAGCAGUAGGGAAUCUUCCACAAUGGGCGAAAGCCUGAUGGAGCAACGCCGCGUGGGUGAAGAAGGUCUUCGGAUCGUAAAACCCUGUUGUUAGAGAAGCAAGUGCGUGAGAGUAACUGUUCACGUUUCGACGGUAUCUAACCAGACAGCCACGGCUAACUACGUGCCAGCAUCCGCGGUAAUACGGAGGUGGCAAGCGUUAUCCGGCUGUAUUGGGCGUAAAGGGAACGCAGGCGGUCUUUUAAGUCUGAUGUGAAAGCCUUCGGCUUAACCGGAGUAGUGCAUUGGAAACUGGGAGACUUGAGUGCAGAAGAGGAGAGUGGAACUCCAUGUGUAGCGGUGAAAUGCGUAGAUAUAUGGAAGAACACCAGUGGCGAAAGCGGCUCGCUGGUCUGUAACUGACGCUGAGGUUCGAAAGCGUGGGUAGCAAACAGGAUUAGAUACCCGGGUAGUC
RNAcentral lists this ribosomal RNA (465 nucleotides) under uncultured bacterium. Its description in RNAcentral is "partial 16S ribosomal RNA". It matches the Rfam family "Bacterial small subunit ribosomal RNA", at positions 338 to 795 of the family's 1533-position model. The record is from RNAcentral.